RNAcentral lists this transfer RNA (64 nucleotides) under Vibrio cholerae HC-70A1. Its description in RNAcentral is "partial tRNA-Met". It matches the Rfam family "tRNA", at positions 2 to 62 of the family's 71-position model. Rfam says of the family: Transfer RNA (tRNA) molecules are approximately 80 nucleotides in length. Their secondary structure includes four short double-helical elements and three loops (D, anti-codon, and T loops). Lineage: Bacteria; Pseudomonadati; Pseudomonadota; Gammaproteobacteria; Vibrionales; Vibrionaceae. The record is from RNAcentral.
GCGGGGUGGAGCAGCUUGGUAGCUCGUCGGGCUCAUAACCCGAAGGUCGUCGGUUCAAAUCCGG